This 84-nucleotide transfer RNA is filed under the name Candidatus Magasanikbacteria bacterium CG10_big_fil_rev_8_21_14_0_10_47_10. RNAcentral describes it as "tRNA-Leu". It matches the Rfam family "tRNA". From Rfam's summary of the family: Transfer RNA (tRNA) molecules are approximately 80 nucleotides in length. Their secondary structure includes four short double-helical elements and three loops (D, anti-codon, and T loops). Lineage: Bacteria; Candidatus Magasanikiibacteriota. The record is from RNAcentral.
GCCCAGAUGGCGGAACUGGUAGACGCGCUGGACUCAAAAUCCAGUGGUGGCAACACCGUGAGAGUUCGAUUCUCUCUUUGGGCA